CAGUCGCCGCGGGAAAACGGAGGGUGCAAGCGUUGUUCGGAAUUACUGGGCGUAAAGCGCACGUAGGCGGCUUGGUAAGUUAGAGGUGAAAGCCUGGAGCUCAACUCCAGAAUUGCCUUUAAGACUGCCGAGCUAGUAGGUGAGAGAGGUAAGUGGAAUUCCGAGUGUAGAGGUGAAAUUCGUAGAUAUUCGGAAGAACACCAGUGGCGAAGGCGGCUUACUGGCUCAUUCUAGACGCUGAGGUGCGAAAGCGUGGGGAGCAAACAGGAUUAGAUACCCCUGUAGUCCCUGUCUCUUAUAC
RNAcentral lists this ribosomal RNA (301 nucleotides) under uncultured bacterium. Its description in RNAcentral is "partial 16S ribosomal RNA". It matches the Rfam family "Bacterial small subunit ribosomal RNA", at positions 509 to 807 of the family's 1533-position model. The record is from RNAcentral.